AUCGUAGUUCGUCUCUAAGAAGUACACAAGGUGGGGGGGGGGAGCUGGAGCACUAGAAUCCAUGUCGUUUCUGGCCAGCCUGCAAGAGUGGCUCAGCAGCGUCGAGGAUGAGUUCUGGACAGCGCACAAUGAGGUGAUGGAGGCCACCGGCGCUCGAGCCUUUAUCGAUGCCGCCGCGGCGUCCUCGCUCAGCAUUGGCUCCCUUGCGGAGGGAUUCCUGCGGGAGAUAUACAACUUCUACACGGCAGUGAACUGGUCAGAGCCCUUUUUUCGCUACCUAGGUGUCUUUCACGCUGUUGUGUGGGUGGCCGCCAUCACCGCCACAUGGGGCGCUGUCUCUGACGAGCGCAUCAUGGUCGUAUGUGCGGUACUGGGUGUGCUGGUGCUGUCUGGCAUACCGGCAAACUCCUACGCCGGCCGACACGCCGAGCGGCUCUUUCAGGAACCUGGUGUAAACUACUUCACAGAGGACGGAACCAUGAUGAUGGUGGUCUACCUGUUGCCUCUGCUCGUGUUGUUGGUGUACUUACAGUUGCGCCAGGGCUACCGCGUCGUGUCGCUGAUGGUGCAGUUAAAGCGUGCCCAGCUGCGCCGCCGAAUGCGGCAAGAAGCGCGGCGCGAGAGCUGCGGCGGCGCUCACGGCGAGGAGGCCGCUGGCGACAGCAAGAAGAUGCAGUAGACAAGCAGCCGCUAGUGAUCGAGCAGGGGAAGCACGUUGUGUGUCUGAAGUCGAUUUUGCUUCUGUGCACACGCGUGUGCGUGUGUGUGUGUGUAUCUGCAGUGCAGGCGUAGACUGGCUGAAGUGAACAAAAGCUAAGCUGCGACAUGGCCAACGCACCGUGCGCUCCCGUAAAUGCGUGCGAUCGCUGAUGACGUGCAUGACUGGAGAAACG
Molecule: unclassified non-coding RNA, 893 nt
Filed under: Leishmania donovani
Lineage: Eukaryota; Euglenozoa; Kinetoplastea; Trypanosomatida; Trypanosomatidae
Description: gene:LdHU3.32.5010(CDS-product:Transmembrane_prot ein_18_putative)
Source: RNAcentral